AGAAUAUAAGAAACCGUUUCUUAACUUUUAACUAAAAAAUUAAGAACCGGCUCUUAAAUAUUUAAGAGCCGGUUCUUAAUUUUUUAGUUAAAAGUUAAGAGAUGGUUUCUUAUAUUUC
Molecule: non-coding RNA, 118 nt
Organism: Brassica rapa (field mustard)
Lineage: Eukaryota; Viridiplantae; Streptophyta; Magnoliopsida; Brassicales; Brassicaceae
Source: Rfam